UACGGAGGAUCCAAGCGUUAUCCGGAUUCAUUGGGUUUAAAGGGUGCGUAGGCGGAUUUGUAAGUCAGUGGUGAAAGCCUGCAGCUUAACUGCAGAACUGCCAUUGAUACUGCAAGUCUUGAGUGUGUUUGAAGUGGGCGGAAUGUGUCAUGUAGCGGUGAAAUGCUUAGAUAUGACACAGAACACCGAUUGCGUAGGCAGCUCACUAAACCACAACUGACGCUGAGGCACGACAGCGUGGGGAUCAAACAGG
RNAcentral lists this ribosomal RNA (253 nucleotides) under uncultured bacterium. RNAcentral describes it as "partial 16S ribosomal RNA". It matches the Rfam family "Bacterial small subunit ribosomal RNA", at positions 524 to 776 of the family's 1533-position model. The record is from RNAcentral.